UUUAGGUAUCCGUUAAGUGGUGUGAUAGACAAUGCGACGUCUCGAAGUACUGAUCUGGAUAAGGAUCCAUCGUCCUAUUCCUCAUUAUGGUAAAUUGAGGCUUAACGAUGUAUAAUUUUGUAUUUUGUGAAAAUUUAGAAAACUCUAAAAAUAAUUAUAAGUCAUUAGCGGAGGCAGAAUCAGUUAAUUCAUAAUUGUCCUGAUUUCUUGUUUAUUUUCCUAUACUGUCCUACUUACUUGUUAUCAUAAUGUACAUGUUCUUAAUUUAUAGUUUUUAUGGUCUUAUCCAUUUAGCUGGUUUAUUCAGUUAUCUGUUACUCGAUCCCUUAUUAUGAUAAGCUAUAUCGU
Molecule: long non-coding RNA, 348 nt
Filed under: Carica papaya (papaya)
Lineage: Eukaryota; Viridiplantae; Streptophyta; Magnoliopsida; Brassicales; Caricaceae
Description: long non-coding RNA (CPAP_LNC002911)
Source: RNAcentral